CCGCCCAUCCACACUCCCCCACUGUUUGUUGGCCCAAACCGACCUCCUGCCGUGCCGUGCAGGGCAGCAAGGGACGUGGACAGGUGGGCUGUCCAAGCCAGGGGGCAGGGACUUCACAGGCACCCUCCUUGGGACCAGAAAACCCAGUACCCCUUUUCUCUCACCCAGGGCACGGAGCCUGAGCAGGGAAUAUGCCACCCCAUCUUGUCCUAACUGCCACGGCCUGCAGGCUCCUCUGCUGGGUAGUCCUUUGCCUCCUGGGAACAGGCUCUGCAGAUACUGGAAUUACCCAGAGACCGAAGUACCUGGUCAUAGGCAUGGGGAACAAGAAGUCUUUGAUGUGCGAACAGAGUCUGAACCACAACAGCAUGUACUGGUAUAAACAGGUCUCUGACAAGCCCCCAGAGCUCAUGUUUCGAUACGACUACCAGAAGCUGGCCACCAAUGAGACUGUCCCAAGUCGCUUCUCCCCCAAAUGCCCAGAUAGCUCUCACCUGUACCUUCACGUGGAUGCCCUGGAGCUCGGCGACUCGGCCGUGUAUCUGUGCGCCAGCAGCAAAGACACAGCCCUGCAGAGCCGCCACCACCCUGAGCACAAACCUCUGCCCAACAGGAAGCUGGGGGUGCUUGCUUCCCAGGCCCCAGGCUUGGUUCCUGAAGGACCCAGCAGACCUUAUAGACCCUGA
Loxodonta africana (African savanna elephant) is the source of this 686-nucleotide non-coding RNA. The record is from the annotation of a RefSeq genome assembly. NCBI's taxonomy places the organism in Eukaryota, Metazoa, Chordata, Mammalia, Proboscidea, Elephantidae.